AUGCAAGUCGAUCGGUAACAGGUGUAGCAAUACAUGCUGACGAGAGGCGGACGGGUGAGGAAUAUUUGGGAAUCUGCCCAUCAGCGGGGGACAACCCGGGGAAACUCGGGCUAAUACCGCAUACGCUCUACGGAGGAAAGCCGGGGACCGCAAGGCCUGGCACUGAUGGAUGAGCCCAAAUCGGAUUAGCUAGUUGGCGGGGUAACGGCCCACCAAGGCGACGAUCCGUAGCUGGUCUGAGAGGACGAUCAGCCACACCGGAACUGAGACACGGUCCGGACUCCUACGGGAGGCAGCAGUGGGGAAUAUUGGACAAUGGGGGAAACCCUGAUCCAGCGACGCCGCGUGGGUGAAGAAGGCCUGCGGGUUGUAAAGCCCUUUCGGUAGGGAAGAAAUCUCUUGCUCUAACAAAGCAAGGGUUUGACUUAACCUACAUAAGAAGCACCGGCUAACUCUGUGCCAGCAGCCGCGGUAAUACAGAGGGUGCGAGCGUUAAUUGGAAUUACUGGGCGUAAAGCGCACGUAGUCGGCUUGCCAAGUCGGGUGUGAAAUCCCCGGGCUCAACCUGGGAACUGCAUCCGAAACUGGCUUGCUAGAGUAUGGGAGAGGGAGGCGGAAUUUCUGGUGUAGCAGUGAAAUGCGUAGAUAUCAGAAGGAACAUCAGUGGCGAAGGCGGCCUCCUGGACCAAUACUGACGAUCAGGUGCGAAAGCGUGGGGAGCAAACAGGAUUAGAUACCCUGGUAGU
RNAcentral lists this ribosomal RNA (746 nucleotides) under uncultured Gammaproteobacteria bacterium. Its description in RNAcentral is "bacterial SSU rRNA". It matches the Rfam family "Bacterial small subunit ribosomal RNA", at positions 55 to 794 of the family's 1533-position model. Lineage: Bacteria; Pseudomonadati; Pseudomonadota; Gammaproteobacteria. The record is from RNAcentral.